Syzygium oleosum is the source of this 1850-nucleotide RNA transcript. It is a transcript of the gene named aminodeoxychorismate synthase, chloroplastic-like, with no coding region annotated. Lineage: Eukaryota; Viridiplantae; Streptophyta; Magnoliopsida; Myrtales; Myrtaceae. The record is from RefSeq and is a predicted model, not a curated record. The transcript is spliced from 3 exons.
UCUCUCUCUCUUGAGGUCUGUAGUUUGCUUGAAUUUUUUGUGAGGAAAAAUCGUAGCUUUUAUGUCGCGAGGGCUUGUGAUGCUUGUUUCAUGGAAUUGCUGUUCGAUGUUAUUCGUUUUCUCGCUCGUGUGCUGUUGGGUUUGUGGUGGUCUGAAUUCGCUCGCUGUUUUCUGGGUGGGUUUUUGGUCGUGACGUAUUAGGGUAAUUGGGGCGUAAUCGUUGAGGCGGCUCAUGGUUUUUGGGGGUUUUUUUUAGUUGAGUAGUUGCUGACUUUGUUGGGAAAAAUGUAGUUGUAGGAUAGUUCGUGUUUGUGCUAUUCUGGGUUCUGGUUCGGAUUUGUUCUGCUGUUAUGCGCUCAUUUAGGUGGCACCGGCACUGCUCUUGUGUGUGUGUGUGUGUGUGUGUGUGUGUCUUUUGCAAUCUGGGAUACUAGCAGACUUAUUUUUGCUCAGCAUCGCCAGUCACUUCCUUUGGGUGUGUGAAUUAUGUCCAGUGGUGACAAUAUGUCCCUUAGUUUGAUGGUUACUACGGACGGUGACUUAGCCAUCUUAAUUGUUACAAGUUUUCUCUCGACUUGCUGGUGGGUUUGGGGGGACUGAGAAUAUCAAACUGCACUUUUGGAGGCGAGCUGUAGAGCCGAGAGGUUAUUCAAAUUAGAGUAACAUUAAAUUUGUAAAGAUGAUCUACUAAAUUGAUUUACUAAGUUAUGUUAUAGACUAUAGCUGAGCUUGCGAACAAGGAGGCCAUAUUCAACAUUAAGUAGAACUCUGCUGCAUCUGUCAGUGAACCAAUUUAGUGGACUACUAAUCUUUAGAUACCUGGCAUUAUUCUCUAAAUUAUCUCAAGAGCUUCUCUAUUGGGAGAGGUGUGUGGAUGGUUUUGGUUGAAGGUUGUGGCUUUGGGGAUUCAAUCGGAGAGUUGUAACUCAAGAUAUUUUAGAUAUUUUCACCAUUGGUUGAUGACCAUAGCCUAUUGCAUUCGUGUAUGAUUGGUUUCUUAUGUCUUUGUUUUGCUAGACUAUAAUUGAUUAUGGGUUUCCAGUUGGAUCCAAUUGUUAACAAGGCUGCUUUAUACUUGUGAUGUGUUCUUAUAAAAUCAGACUUUUGAGGCUUUAAAUCAGCGUGCGGUUGCAGUAGUUGUGGAUCCCAUUUAGAGUGUCAAAGGGAAGGUGGUGAUUGAUGCCUUCCGUUUGAUCAACCCACAAACCAUGAUGCUUGGCCAAGAACCCAGGCAGACAACCUCCAACCUUGGACAUCUCAACAAACCGUCCAUCCAAUUUCACUCAAAGAGUGUUGCGACUUGUCAUGGGAGACAGAUUUUCGAGAAUUUCAGGGGAAUAACAGAAGAUUAUUGGUUGAGAUCAAGCUCCUCUUUCUUCAGAAGGAGAUAUGCUCAUUUUACUGGUGCCCCACGGUAAUCAUAUAUCAGGACAAGUUCGUUUAACAAAUACUCCGUCUGUGGAGAUUAAUGGCGAUCACUUGCUUCAAGAGGUUACUAGAAGCAGAAGACCAGUGUAUGAUUUGGACGAGAGGAACUGUCUUGGUAUGUCAAAUCUGGGGACUUCACCUGCAACCAUUGACAUGAAGCUACUUAAGUUGACAUGGAGAAGGUUAGAAGGUUUGGCUGCUAGACUUGGUGGAUCCAAGAACAUAUUCUGUGAACUUUUUUCUGAUAACAAGGCUGAGAACACCUUUUGGUUGGAUAGUUCCUCAAUUGAGAAGGUUUGUCUUGAAGAGGAAGAAUGCACCUUUCAGUUUGGUUCUUUAUUUAUGUCAUUCUUGUGGAAAUUGUAGAUGAAUGUAUUUCAUUUUCAUAUUAUUAUAAUAUUUUGAUAUUAUUAAGUGCUUAA